RNAcentral lists this ribosomal RNA (459 nucleotides) under uncultured Rhodocyclaceae bacterium. Its description in RNAcentral is "bacterial SSU rRNA". It matches the Rfam family "Bacterial small subunit ribosomal RNA", at positions 923 to 1382 of the family's 1533-position model. Lineage: Bacteria; Pseudomonadati; Pseudomonadota; Betaproteobacteria; Rhodocyclales; Rhodocyclaceae. The record is from RNAcentral.
GCACAAGCGGUGGAUGAUGUGGAUUAAUUCGAUGCAACGCGAAAACCUUACCUACCCUUGACAUGUCCGGAAUCCCGAAGAGAUUUGGGAGUGCUCGCAAGAGAACCGGAACACAGGUGCUGCAUGGCUGUCGUCAGCUCGUGUCGUGAGAUGUUGGGUUAAGUCCCGCAACGAGCGCAACCCUUGUCAUUAGUUGCCAUCAUUUGGUUGGGCACUCUAAUGAGACUGCCGGUGACAAACCGGAGGAAGGUGGGGAUGACGUCAAGUCCUCAUGGCCCUUAUGGGUAGGGCUUCACACGUCAUACAAUGGUCGGUACAGAGGGUUGCCAACCCGCGAGGGGGAGCUAAUCCCACAAAGCCGAUCGUAGUCCGGAUCGCAGUCUGCAACUCGACUGCGUGAAGUCGGAAUCGCUAGUAAUCGUGGAUUAGCAUGUCACGGUGAAUACGUUCCCGGGUCUU